CCUACGGGAGGCAGCAGUAGGGAAUAUUGCUCAAUGGGGGAAACCCUGAAGCAGCAACGCCGCGUGGAGGAUGAAGGUUUUAGGAUUGUAAACUCCUUUUGUGAGAGAAGAUAAUGACGGUAUCUCACGAAUAAGCCCCGGCUAACUACGUGCCAGCAGCCGCGGUAAUACGGAGGGUGCAAGCGUUACUCGGAUUCACUGGGCGUAAAGAGUGCGCAGGCGGGGUUGUAAGUCAGAUGUGAAAUGCUGUAGCUUAACUACAGAACUGCAUUUGAAACUAUGAGGCUAGAGUGCGGGAGAGGUAGGUGGAAUUCUUGGUGUAGGGGUGAAAUGCGUAGAUAUCAAGAGGAAUACUGAUUGCGAAGGCGACCUACUGGAACAUUACUGACGCUGAUGCACGAAAGCGUGGGGAGCAAACAGGAUUAGAUACCCUAGUAGUC
This 440-nucleotide ribosomal RNA is filed under the name uncultured bacterium. Its description in RNAcentral is "partial 16S ribosomal RNA". It matches the Rfam family "Bacterial small subunit ribosomal RNA", at positions 338 to 795 of the family's 1533-position model. The record is from RNAcentral.